AGUGAACGCUGGCGGUAGGCCUAACACAUGCAAGUCGAACGGCAGCACAGUAAGAGCUUGCUCUUACGGGUGGCGAGUGGCGGACGGGUGAGGAAUACAUCGGAAUCUACUUUUUCGUGGGGGAUAACGUAGGGAAACUUACGCUAAUACCGCAUACGACCUACGGGUGAAAGCAGUGGAUCUUCUGACCUUGCGCGAUUGAAUGAGCCGAUGUCGGAUUAGCUAGUUGGCGGGGUAAAGGCCCACCAAGGCGACGAUCCGUAGCUGGUCUGAGAGGAUGAUCAGCCACACUGGAACUGAGACACGGUCCAGACUCCUACGGGAGGCAGCAGUGGCGAAUAUUGGACAAUGGGCGCAAGCCUGAUCCAGCCAUACCGCGUGGGUGAAGAAGGCCUUCGGGUUGUAAAGCCCUUUUGUUGGGAAAGAAAAGCAGCAGGUUAAUACCACGCUGUUCUGACGGUACCCAAAGAAUAAGCACCGGCUAACUUCGUG
This 492-nucleotide ribosomal RNA is filed under the name uncultured bacterium. RNAcentral describes it as "partial 16S ribosomal RNA". It matches the Rfam family "Bacterial small subunit ribosomal RNA", at positions 29 to 507 of the family's 1533-position model. The record is from RNAcentral.